AAUAGAAGAGAAAAGGUGCUACUCCACCCGAUUCUCAAUUUUACAAAAAGACAAAAGGGUUGUCUUUUCCUUUUCUCUCCACCACCUCCGGCCAGCUGCUUUCGGCGACAUUCCUACGAGUCUUUCGGCCGGUAAGAUUCAAGUGUGGGUUUUGAAUCAAUUCUAGAGAAGAGUUUGAUUUCUUGAAUUGAAGACACUAACAAGUUUCAAGGGUUCCUAUGAGUACGAGAAUGCCGGUGGGCCGAGUCAGGAUUCCAUA
Long non-coding RNA from Tripterygium wilfordii, 259 nucleotides. RefSeq lists it as uncharacterized. Lineage: Eukaryota; Viridiplantae; Streptophyta; Magnoliopsida; Celastrales; Celastraceae. The transcript has 3 exons. The record is from RefSeq and is a predicted model, not a curated record.